Sipha flava (yellow sugarcane aphid) is the source of this 1421-nucleotide long non-coding RNA. RefSeq lists it as uncharacterized. The transcript has 3 exons. The record is from RefSeq and is a predicted model, not a curated record. NCBI's taxonomy places the organism in Eukaryota, Metazoa, Arthropoda, Insecta, Hemiptera, Aphididae.
CAAUACUCACUACUCACUAGAAAUUAAUGUAUUUUUUUAGUAAUGUUUUAAGAAUUAAGAAUCUGACAACAACAAAGCUUAAAAAAAUGCGGACUUGGUGCAAAUGAUCGUUGUACCGGACCCAACGGCCGUUUCAGACCAGUGCACCGUGUUUCGGAUAGCCGUGCUGGACACGGAGAUUGUCAAAACCAAAAUAAGAUACCUAACACAAGUAUUUGUUCAUUCAUAUCGUCGAGAAGAAUGUUUUCAUCAAUAGUAGGCUAAGCCGGCAUCACACGAUGACAGUUUUUUCAUGAAGCAAUUUUGAACUCGAUGACAUUUAUGUCAUGAACAUUUACACUAGUGAUAUAAAUGUUGCGACAGUUGCUGUCAUGAAACAAAAAUAUUUAGGUAUUAUACAAAAAUGUACGAAACUGUCUUGACAGAAAUAUCUCGAGUGUUCACACGAUGUGUGCAAAAUAUUUCUGAAUACGAACAACAGUCACAUAACAACUUGUUUUUAUAGUGCGCAGUAGUUACUUUACAGUACUCAUAUUUUGUAUUUUAUAAUUAUUAUUAUAAACCAUGGUAUCGAAGCGUGAACGAAUUGCGGCUGCUAUUAUUAUUAUAGAAAGUUUGAACAAAAAACAAAAAAAGGCUAGAAGUGUGUGGGAACGCAGAUGGCUUGAAAGAAGAAAAUGCUAUGGUGCAUAUGAUACAUUAUCCCGAGAGCUGAGAAUGGAAGAUCCUUCACAGCUGAGAAAUUUUAUAAGGAUGUUUGUCGAAGAUUUUGAGGAACUAAGUUCGUGGAUUGCACCAAUUGUCCAAAAAACGGAUACCAAUAUGCAUGAGGCGAUAAUAUAAUGUAAUACAGUUUAAUGUUAGUAGUGAGUGAUAUUGAAUGUUCUUAAAUUUACUUUUAUAUAUUUUUGGCUCAUUCACCCGGCUUGACCCGAAUUAUAUAAUAAUUUUUUAUUAAAAUAUUAGAAAAUUCAAUAUAUAUAAAUUUACCACUUGAAGCUAGAAAAAAUAUUCAGCACAAUCAGUAAACAGAUAGUAGUUUUAUGAAUUACAAUACUUUUUUGUACGUAUAAUAAAAACUACAAUACUUCUUUUUAUACUAAAUUCACUGUUAGUUCUUGAUUAGGUGCAUGAAUAUAUAAAUUGUUUUCCGAGGUAACUGGUCACUCGAUAACAUGCGAUAUUAAAUUGGCCAUGAAUAAAAUAAGCAUCUAAACUGUCCGGCAUUUUCCAUUACCGCACAAACAUGACACCAAACCGCUUAAAAUGCAUAACACAGUACCGUUCAUAAGUACGAUACCGUAUAGAUAUGUAGAAGCAUAGAAACUAAUUUCGCAUUCAAAUAUUGUACGAUAUUAAUUCGAAGUACAAAUUAAAAUCGUUAAUUAAUUAUUUCACAGCAUUUUUUAUUAUUAUUUUUU